This 266-nucleotide long non-coding RNA is filed under the name Ananas comosus (pineapple). RNAcentral's name for it is "long non-coding RNA (ACOM_LNC016182)". The record is from RNAcentral. Lineage: Eukaryota; Viridiplantae; Streptophyta; Magnoliopsida; Poales; Bromeliaceae.
UGUUUGAUUAAUAUAAUUAGAUUUCUGAGAUUUGAAUAAUAGCAUUUCAUCUUUGUGGAAGAAUUGGCUUUCUGUGUAUCAUUUUUUUCCGUCCUUAUACUUCUUCUCUCUCAACGAGAUUUAAAUCUGCGUCAACCGUUUCGUUCAAUCUUUUAUAAAAAUAAACUCAAUUGAAAAUGCGAAGUAAUUAGCUUUCGAAUUUAAAAUCUUGAAUACUGACAAUAAAGUCUUGGUCGCUGAUCGCAAAUUGUGAUACUCGUUUUUGU